AUGAAAAGGACCUUUAUUUAAGGUAUAAGAACGGAGACAAGAAGGCGGAGCGUGGCCUUGUCGUCCUCGGCUGGGAAGAUGCAUGUUGGGCAACUCAACUUUUUCGCCACUCUGUGCAUGUCUAGAAAUGACCACAGAAGCACCUCGAGGAUUGAUGUGGGGAUUACAAAUAAAUCUUUAGCAAAAAAAAAAAAAGAGGAAGAUUGCCAACAGAUGUUAGCUCAGGGUCAAUCUUCUUCACAAACAAACAAAAAAACAAGAACAGGUUUCCUGACUGCAGGACUUUUCAGAGGUUUGACUUGAUGACUGUGCAUUGUUAAUUUCUAAGAAGAGAGUCUGAUAUGAAGCUUUUCCCAAAUGUUUUGAUUCCAGAACCUUUUCUGCCUGGAGCAUCUUGGGCUUUCUUGUGUUGCCCAGAACGCAUUUGCAGGAUUCCCUGACAUGACUGGGGAGUAUUCAGAAGUGGUAAGGGCCCAGGAGAGUCAUGGAGCAAACUGCCCAGGAAGACGGAGCCAUAGCAGGGUAGAGCCUGGAGCUAUAAAGAGGAGGGAGCUUCUUCCUCAGGAAGGUAGAGGGAAAGGUGAGGAAGGAAAUGAGCUUGAGCUGAGCCCACCAGUUGCAUGGAAGUAGGGAGAAAAAAGAAACUUCCCAGGUAGAAAAGGGGGGCUGGAAAGGAUACCCAUAUUGCAGAAUUCCUACAGAAACUUUAUGUUCAAAACUGGCUGCAUCUGGACCCUGCAUUUGCUGAGCAGAAAGAAAAGGAACAAAAAGUCCAUAGAUACUGGCCGUUGGACAUGACAGCGAUCGGGAAACAGGGUCCCCUAUCACAAUCUCUACCCCUAGAACUGGCCUCUUUCCCACAGACAGAGGAGUGAGAAGCGCUGAGCUCUGUCCCCUUCGUGUAUUUCUCAGACAAGUCACCUUCCCUCACCGCUGUUCGGUUCCCCCCACGUCAAAGGACUAGAAGAUGAUCAGCAUAGCAUGCCAAGCGGAUCCGCACCCGGGAUCCGAACCAGUGAACCCUGGGCCUCUGAAGCGGAACGUGC
This 1046-nucleotide long non-coding RNA is filed under the name Equus caballus (horse). Its description in RNAcentral is "lncRNA (ENSECAG00000053480.1)". Lineage: Eukaryota; Metazoa; Chordata; Mammalia; Perissodactyla; Equidae. The record is from RNAcentral.